UGCCUCCCACAAAACUCACAGAUCUGACACGGCUCAUUUGAACAGCAAACAUUGCUGCAGGGCAGCUAUACGUGCUGCCCUUUCUCUUGUCUAGCUCUUCCCUUAACUAUAAACUUCCCAGCUACUACACCCUCUCUUCCUAACCAAACUGUAAGCUCUUUUAGAGUAGGGACCCCACCUCGGAUAGCUUUUCUAUAAUCCUGCAAAGCCCACAUGCUGCCUUCCACGCAGACGUUCAGUACAGGAACUGGGCGGUUCUGAAGCUCAGCCACCGUGGGCUGCCCCUACAGGCUCGCUCCGUCCGCUCGUGCAGUCUCAGGUCACCAUUGUUUGGGGGAAAAGUAACAGGAACCUCAGGGACAGUCCCCAGAGAGCCCCCAGCACAACUGCUCUUAGUGGGUCUCCAGUCAUUCUGCUCAACUCAGUCACUCAUCCACCCACUUAAAGAUCAUUUAUCGAGAACGAUGCUCCAGCAACUGGGAAAGGUAAGGCGGUCCCUGCCGGGCAGGACGUCCCAGUCCAGCGGGAGCCAGGAAAGAAGAGCCCUGCAUGCGGAACUAGAGGAGCUACAGGAGCGCUCCGGGGACCUCAGGAAAAGCUGUCGCCACUACACACAGUCGCUGAUGGGAAGGCUCUGCUCAAGCCGGUACCCAAGCCCAGUCAGAUCGCCCCUCCCAAGAUCUCAGGACGCGGAGUGGAGCAGCGAGGUCUGAAGGAGUAAAGAGAGUGGAGAGAGGAGCAGAAGGCGGUGUCGCUACGGCAGCUGUAAGGUCUUCUGCAGGGACCUCCUGAGCGGCAGAACUGCUAGGGACAUACUGUGGCCACUUGCUCUAAGCUUAGCAAUAUGGAAAAACGGUGGGGAUGCAUAAAUGCCCCACUUCCAACUCAUCAUUAUAAUAACGUAUUUUCUCCUGCUCGUUUUUCACCAAAAAUUCAUCUGGAAAAAAUAGUCACUGGAAAUAUUUCAAAAAGCUUUCUGUUUUCAAAAGGAAAACCUAUGUGAGGAGACAGAGAGGACCCUCAUCAUUUGUGGAUGCUACAUAUGCAAAUCCCCCGACUCACUGAAAUGUGUUUGUAACGCCCACAUCAGUCCUUAGGCCGCUGUCAUGGUCAUUCACAAAGAAGAGGAAAUUUAAGUUGUCCAAGGCAUGUGCUCCCGGCGCAGGAGACUUUCUGCCUUGUUUCAUCUCUCACCCUCUAAACAAAUGUCCUUUCCACGGUCUAUUUGGGGCAACACUUCUCUGAGUCUUCUGUUUUUGUUGGUGGUUUUGCGGUUUAAAAAGGCCCCCAAAAGUGGCCUGUCGCAAGUGAUGUCCACUGCUCCUGAGAGCAGGAAGGUGGCGACGGGCCUGAUGGAGCCAGUAUGUGCGUUGGUGACCCUCCUUCAGGCGUGAGAUGUAGUGCUGGGGGCUAGGAGUUCAACAGGAGCAAAUCAGUAACACGAAUUAAAAAGGAGUCUUUAAACAGAAACACACACAAUGUAAGAGUACAAAUUGAUCCCUUGACAAAAAUGUUGUGACCAGAACUCACAGAAACUGAAAGUCCUCAUAAGGAGAGGGAAAUCUGGGCACACGCACCCACACAGAACACGUGAAGACAGAGGCUGGAGUGAGGCAGCCGCAAGCCAAGGGAGGCCUGGAGCCCCCGGAAGCUGGGAGAGGCGAGGACGGAUCCACCCUAGAGGCCGCGGAGGGAGACUAGCCCUACGAAUACUUUGGCCUCCAGAACUGUUUACAUUACCUUAUGUUGGUCCUGUGGUCAACAGUAUCAAAAGCGUUGCAGUAGGCUAACUGCUGCCCAGGAACCCAACCUUGAGUGAUGGAGCAGGAUUGCUGUAAAUGACCACCCUUGAUAUAUCAUCACCCAUAUUUAUACUUUGCUGUAUUUUUUCUAUUCACUUUUACCAGCAUCCCAAAACUGCCUGCACAGGGUUCUUACCUGGGGAAUUAAAAGAAAAAGUCUCUGGCCGCACCCUAGUUCUACUGAAUAAGAAUCUCCAGGGCUUAGGAACCAGGAACCUGUUUUACUACCCUAGAGCAAUUUUGAUAUGCAGCUAAAUGUGGGCAUCGCUGCCAUUCCAUACCCACUAGCCCAAUGGCCCCAGAUCCUGUAUGUUUAAUAAACACCUCCCAUUGAUCUUGGAAAAACGAGGAGCUCAGUGUGAAGAGAUUUAGUCAUAAAUGGAAUAUAAGUACAUGUGAAAUUAGUGUUCUAAAAUGCCCUUCAAUUACCACGGAGCAAGUUUCCCAUGCAGAGAGUCAUCCAAAUUAGAGUUUUGUAUAUUCACCAUCCUACCCACAAUUUUCUUACUAGGCAUGUUUUCUAUAUCCUUCUAGAAGGUAGUACCGUAAGUUCUUUACAGAAAUUUCCCUAUCUCUGACCACAAACUACUGGGGUACCUGAAACAGUGUGAUUUAGCCUCUGACAGCAACCUGCACUGUGUCAUCAGACUCUAAGCAGACAGAGAAACUGGCUUAAGGCCUCCAUGUGUGUGCUCGAAAGACACCAAGAUAUAUUGCUGGGUUUCAAUACUGCAGGUGACCCAACGGUCAUUCUAGGAAACAGUUCUCCAUGCAGCCUAAAGAGAACAGGAGUUCUCCAUGCAGGCAGUUACCCCUGAAGGUAUAUGGAUCGUGCUCUGUCUAUGCCAAUGUGCACUCUUCUGAGAGAGGGUCCGGGACCAGACAGUCCAUCCCUGCGCAAUGAGCUCCACCUCCCCACGCCAUGUCCCUGCAGGGCCCAGCCUCUGCUCCGUUCUCCUCCCAACACAGCUGCCCUACCACUUCUCCAUCCACAUGGGUCUCACUGCCUCCCUCUUCUUUGCUCAUGUGAAAAAUUCAUGAAUGGGCUGAAUGCCACCCACGUAACUGUGAUGCCAGGGUGGGCUUACCUACCAUCUCCCCUGGGCCCCCAAGUCUCUGCAGGUCAUUUUUUGCCCCUCCCUCAUCAGCUCCUGGUCCGCACAGGAGCAGUCAGAUCUUUCCACCCUCACAUUCCUUGUAAUUCACCUCUGUGCUCAUCGAUCCCAGCAGGCGAUCUGGCCUCCAAGAUCAGAGAAACACAGAGGCCACCAGGCUCUUCUUUCUAAAUUUCUGACCCCUUUCCCUCUCAAACUGAUCUGAACUUUUGUGACCUCCUUUUGUCCUUCUUCAGGCCAGGCAGGUGGUAACGCCACUCUCUGCACCAGGGAAUGUGGAGGGUUUAAGUGGAGAAAUACUGAGAUUGGUUUAGGGUCUGGUGAAUUCACGAUAUCUUUGGAAUAUCCAAAAAAAGCUGUUGGGUGGGCAAUUAGAAAUAAAAGGCUAGAGCCAGAAGAAAGGUCUGGAAAUAGCCAACGAGCCCUUUACGGAUCGUUCAAAU
Manis pentadactyla (Chinese pangolin) is the source of this 3360-nucleotide long non-coding RNA. RefSeq lists it as uncharacterized. Lineage: Eukaryota; Metazoa; Chordata; Mammalia; Pholidota; Manidae. The transcript is spliced from 3 exons. The record is from RefSeq and is a predicted model, not a curated record.